CUUGCACAGGUGCUGCAUGGCUGUCGUCAGCUCGUGUCGUGAGAUGUUCGGUUAAGUCCGCUAACGAGCGCAACCCUCGCUGUGUGUUAUAUGUGUCACACGGGACUGCCGGUCUUAAGCCGGAGGAAGGUGGGGAUGAUGUCAAGUCAGCAUGGCCUUUAUAUCCUGGGCUACACACACGCUACAAUGGCCAACACAAUAGGUUGCUAAGCCGCGAGGUGGCGCCAAUCCAUAAAGUUGGUCUCAGUUCAGAUUGUAGGCUGCAACCCGCCUGCAUGAAGAUGGAGUUGCUAGUAACCGCAGGUCAGCUAUACUGCGGUGAAUACGUUCCCGGGGCUU
RNAcentral lists this ribosomal RNA (339 nucleotides) under uncultured Leptolinea sp. RNAcentral's name for it is "bacterial SSU rRNA". It matches the Rfam family "Bacterial small subunit ribosomal RNA", at positions 1029 to 1382 of the family's 1533-position model. The record is from RNAcentral. Lineage: Bacteria; Bacillati; Chloroflexota; Anaerolineae; Anaerolineales; Anaerolineaceae.